This 485-nucleotide ribosomal RNA is filed under the name Diutina catenulata. RNAcentral's name for it is "partial large subunit ribosomal RNA". It matches the Rfam family "Eukaryotic large subunit ribosomal RNA", at positions 62 to 668 of the family's 3401-position model. The record is from RNAcentral. Lineage: Eukaryota; Fungi; Ascomycota; Pichiomycetes; Serinales; Debaryomycetaceae.
AAACCAACCGGGAUUGCCUCAGUAACGGCGAGUGAAGCGGCAAAAGCUCAAAUUUGAAAUCCUUCGGGAGUUGUAAUUUGUAGAGGGGUGUCUUUGGGGCGGCAUUGUCUAUGUUCCUUGGAACAGGACGUCACAGAGGGUGAGAAUCCCGUGCGAUGAUGCCUCAACCAGUACAAGACCCUCUCGACGAGUCGAGUUGUUUGGGAAUGCAGCUCUAAGUGGGUGGUAAAUUCCAUCUAAAGCUAAAUACUGGCGAGAGACCGAUAGCGAACAAGUACAGUGAUGGAAAGAUGAAAAGCACUUUGAAAAGAGAGUGAAACAGUACGUGAAAUUGUUGAAAGGGAAGGGUAGGAGGUGAGGGGAAGAGCUGCUUAGGCGCGGGAGAUAAACAAGCAGGAAGCGCUUCGGUGCGGCCUGGUAAAUAUCCCGUGCUUGUGUGGUUCUUCCGUAAUCCCCUUCUACCGCCCGUCUUGAACCACGGACCA